This 57-nucleotide transfer RNA is filed under the name Bos taurus (domestic cattle). It matches the Rfam family "tRNA", at positions 8 to 63 of the family's 71-position model. Rfam says of the family: Transfer RNA (tRNA) molecules are approximately 80 nucleotides in length. Their secondary structure includes four short double-helical elements and three loops (D, anti-codon, and T loops). RNAcentral also lists the same sequence under 2 other names. The record is from Rfam by way of RNAcentral. Lineage: Eukaryota; Metazoa; Chordata; Mammalia; Artiodactyla; Bovidae.
UAGCUCAGUUGGUAAAGAAUCUGCCUGCAAUGCAGGAGACCCAGGUUGGAUUCCUGG